GACGAACGCUGGCGGCGUGCUUAACACAUGCAAGUCGAACGGAAAGGCCCUGCUUGCAGGGUACUCGAGUGGCGAACGGGUGAGUAACACGUGGGUGAUCUGCCCUGCACUUCGGGAUAAGCCUGGGAAACUGGGUCUAAUACCGGAUAGGAGCCAUUUUUAGUGUGAUGGUUGGAAAGUUUUUUCGGUGUAGGAUGAGCUCGCGGCCUAUCAGCUUGUUGGUGGGGUAAUGGCCUACCAAGGCGGCUACGGGUAGCCGGCCUGAGAGGGUGGACGGCCACAUUGGGACUGAGAUACGGCCCAGACUCCUACGGGAGGCAGAAGUGGGGAAUAUUGCACAAUGGGCGCAAGCCUGAUGCAGCGACGCCGCGUGGGGGAUGACGGCCUUCGGGUUGUAAACUACUUUCGCAAGGGACGAAGCUUUUUGUGACGGUACCUAGAUAAGAAGCCCCGGCUAACUACGUG
This 465-nucleotide ribosomal RNA is filed under the name uncultured bacterium. Its description in RNAcentral is "partial 16S ribosomal RNA". It matches the Rfam family "Bacterial small subunit ribosomal RNA", at positions 28 to 507 of the family's 1533-position model. The record is from RNAcentral.